AGCCAAUGGGAGCGGAGAGGCUCACCCCCCGUCAUUUGCAUGCGGCGGGAGAGGCGGGCGGCGCGGCCAAUGGGCGGCGGAGGGGGGCGGGGCCUGCCCCCCACGAGGGCGCCGCGGCGGAGCGGUGGGGAGCGGCGGACGCCGGGCAGGGGUGAGGCGGCGAGCGGCUCCGGGGAGCCCAGGCUGGCUCCAUGUAUCCCGAAUCCACCACUGACUCCCCGGCGCGACUCUCGCUGCGGCAGACGGGCUCCCCAGGGAUGAUUUACAGCGCGAGGUACGGGAGCCCCAAGCGCCAGCUCCAGUUCUACAGGUAACCCAGCCCUUUCCCCUCCCCAAAAUCCACUCCCCCCCCCGGGGCCAGCAGAUGCGGUCG
Molecule: long non-coding RNA, 373 nt
Filed under: Calidris pygmaea (Spoon-billed sandpiper)
Lineage: Eukaryota; Metazoa; Chordata; Aves; Charadriiformes; Scolopacidae
Description: lncRNA (ENSCPGG00000012929.1)
Source: RNAcentral